This is an RNA transcript of Strigops habroptila (Kakapo), 2174 nucleotides long. It is a transcript of the gene named family with sequence similarity 174 member A, with no coding region annotated. The transcript is spliced from 4 exons. NCBI's taxonomy places the organism in Eukaryota, Metazoa, Chordata, Aves, Psittaciformes, Psittacidae. The record is from RefSeq and is a predicted model, not a curated record.
AAGGGCUAUCCUACCAGAACAGCAUUUUAUUUAACGAACAUGUGUGACACCAACAUAAUAAUCACUACGGCAGACUUUGUACAAAGUGUUAACCUGUCUUACAUGUUCACGAAUGUCCACCAGCUUCAAAACACAUUGACUGCUCCAUGACCUUUGGUUCUGGUGUGCUGAGACACAACCACUUUCCCCAAGUGCCAGUACAGGCUGGGGCUGACCUACUGGAGAGCUGUUCAGCUGAGAAGGGCCUGGGAGUAUUGGUGGGUGACAAGCUGACCAUAAGCCAGCAGUGUCCCCUUGUGUCCAGGAGGGACAAGAGUGUCCUGGGCUGCCUCGGGAGGAGCGUGGCCAGCAGGUUGAUCCUCCCCCUCUGCUUGAUCCUGGUGAGGCCGCAUCCGGAAUACUGUGCCCAGUCCUGGGCUCCUUAGUACUAGAAAGACAAGGAGCUUCUGGAGAGGGUCCAGCGGAGGCCACAGGGAGCAUCAGGGGUCUGGAGAAUCUCUCUUAUGAGGAGAGAUUGCGGGAGCUGGGCCUGUUUAGUCUAGAGGAGAGAGACUGAGAGGGGAUGUAUUUAAUGCAUUUAUCUCAACGGCGGGUGCCAGGAGGAUGGUGCCAGACUCUUUCCAGUGGUGCACAGCAACAGCACAAGGAACAAUGGCCAUAAACUAAAACACAAGUUUCACCUCAACAUGAGGAAGAACUUCUCUACUCUGAGGGCGGCAGAGCACUGGAAGAGGCUGCCCGGGGGCGCUGUAGAGUCUCCCUCUCUGGAGACGUUCCUGUGUGAUCUCCUCCAGCUGGCUCUGCCCUGGCAGGGGGUUGAACUUGAUGAUCACCAGAAGUCCCUUCCAACUCUACUGACUCUUUGAUAUUUCUACCAUUCGACCUCAACCAAAACAAAAAAUGUAGUCUCAGCCUUCAGGCACUGAUAUUGUCCAAGCCCUCCUUUUGCUUAUGUGUCCUUAACCAGCACCAGCUGCGGCAGCGACACCCGCUGCCAGCUGCGCGGAGCUCGCGCCCCUCCAGACCUCCCCGCGCUCCCAUGGCAGCGGCGGGCGCCCGGCGACGGGCGCUUCCGCUUCCGGCGGCCAGACUGCAGCAGGGCCCGGCCGCGGUUAGGCCGCGGCGGCGGCGGCGGGGUACGGUGAUCGCGGCCUGCGCCGGGCAGGAGCAGAGGCCGACAUGUGGCCGCCGCCGCUGCCCUGGCUGCUGGCGGGGCUGCUGCUAGCUGCCCGUUGCGGGGAGGCUGCGGCGGCGGCCCUUCACCUUCGGAGUGCCGACACUGCCUCCCCGCGCCCCACCGAGGUGGCCAGCGGGGCCGCCACACGAAGCAGCAGCAGCAGUCGCCUGGCCGAGGUGUCGGCGCCGCCCGAGCAGGGCCAGCCCAUGACCCAGCGCGCCCUGUCCGUGCUGGUGCUGGCCAGCGCCGCCCUCAUCGUCUACUUCGUGAUCCGGACCGUGCGGCUCAGAAGGCGAAGCAGAAAAACCCGAAGGUACGGCGUUUUGGAUACAAACAUAGAAAACAUGGAGCUGACCCCAUUAGAGCAAGAUGAUGAUGAUGAUGAUACAACACUAUUUGAUGCCAGUCAUCCUCGAAGUUGGAGAAGGGAUGUCAAGAUCACUUGAAUUUUAAAUGGGCAAGAAUUUAGUGAGCAAGAAGAUAAACAGCAUUUGUCUUCAGCAUGUGAGUUCCAGAGAAAUGGAGAGGAAGAGAAGUACGUGCCUUUCAGUGAAAGAACUUAAUCUUAGAACCAGAGAAGGAGACUGCUUCAUGGAAGGAAUAAGAAGCAAGAGGGUAUGAAAAUUGGGGGGACUAAUUUAAUUUGUGUAUGUUAUGGCAUCCUUAUUUUGUUGCAAUAAAUACUGUACCAAUUCGUUGUACCUUUUUGUAUAUAAAAGAUUCUAAAUGUAAAGCCUACAGAGAAAGAGUGCACUAAAAUGAAAACCUAUUUGGAAGGGAGAUUACUUUUAAAAUGGUAUUUUUUUGCUUGUUACAAAUCUUGUAUGCCGUAAGUGUGGUAUACACUUUUUCUACAGUUACCUGGAAUGCUGACACAUUUUUUUUGCUGAUAUUAAAUUGUAAGUAAACAUGGCAUCUGUGGACUCCUCAGAAUUGUUAGAGCUUGAUUUUAGUUGAGGAGAUGCUUUACCCUUUACAAAUAAAAAGCCAAACUACU